RNAcentral lists this ribosomal RNA (434 nucleotides) under uncultured Oscillospiraceae bacterium. RNAcentral's name for it is "bacterial SSU rRNA". It matches the Rfam family "Bacterial small subunit ribosomal RNA", at positions 341 to 792 of the family's 1533-position model. Lineage: Bacteria; Bacillati; Bacillota; Clostridia; Eubacteriales; Oscillospiraceae. The record is from RNAcentral.
ACGGAAGGCAGCAGUGGGGAAUAUUGGGCAAUGGGCGAAAGCCUGACCCAGCAACGCCGCGUGAGGGAAGAAGGUCUUCGGAUUGUAAACCUUUGUCUUAUGGGACGAUAAUGACGGUACCAUAGGAGGAAGCCACGACUAACUACGUGCCAGCAGUCGCGGUAAUACGUAGGUGGCGAGCGUUAUCCGGAAUUAUUGGGUGUAAAGGGUGCGUAGGCGGGAUGUAAAGUCAGAUGUGAAAUACCGCAGCUUAACUGCGGGGCUGCAUUUGAAACUUAUGUUCUUGAGUGCGGUAGAGGUAAGUGGAAUUCCCAGUGUAGCGGUGAAAUGCGUAGAUAUUGGGAGGAACACCAGUGGCGAAGGCGACUUACUGGGCCGUUACUGACGCUGAGGCACGAAAGUGUGGGGAGCAAACAGGAUUAGAUACCCUGGUA